AUGAGUGAGCGAGAAAGUGAGUGAAAGACCGGAAAAAGUGAGCCUGUGCAUCAAUAUAGAAAGAAAGAGGACAAGAGACUGACUCCCUCAUCAGAGGCUCCCUGGGAAGUCCAGAUCCCUGUUGUCAGGACUUGUCUGCGUUGGAUCCCCUCCAGCAGAACAAGCCUGUCGGUUGCAGCUCGAACUCUCUCUGUAGGCAGAGUUUCCUCUUUCUCAUGAAACAACAGCGAUUCAUUCCCUCCGUGGGAAUUUCCCUAGCUGGUUAACAUCUCCCAUUUAUUCCACCUAGCUGAGCUGAAGGUUUUUGUUUCAGGAGAGAAUUAAAGCCAUUUUGAUUGGAAUAUAUGCUAUUUUCAGUUUCAUUCCUCUCCCCAUGACUUCCUUAUUGCCAGUGACGUGUGGACAGGACAGGCGGACUUUGCCGUGCCUCCGUGUGCGACUACCUUGAGCAGCAGUUUAAGGGACUUUGCAGGGAAAAUGCCGUGCAGUGAGGUGUAGGGGAUUGUCUGCAGCAGGACGGCCCCCAGUGGAUCGGAGCUGAGGGAUGUGGUGCUCCUCCAGCAGCUCUCUCAUGAGGUUUUCUCUGUACUUUUGCUCCAAGGCAUAGCGAUUGGUCUCCUCUACUAUGUCUCCCACCAGCUCCUCUGUCAGAAACAGCUUGAAGCACUCUGCCACAGAGGGAAAUGGCAAGGGGCUUUUGCACUCCAGACUGGAACUCAUCAAAGCAAACAGCAGGGUCAGGAGGACUGAAAUGGCUGGCGGCCUUCCAGCUACCACAGACUUCCUGUACUUCAUCCACUGCCGGUCUGCCUCCAUCACCAUCAGCAUCUUCAAAGUGACCUGGUACUUCAUCAGUGGACAAGGGGUCCUCAGAUUCAGGGUUCUCAAUGGCUACAAGGUUUGGGGGCAACUCCUCACUUUCACUAUCACUGUCAGAAUCGUAUUACUGACUUUCAUACUCUGACUCAUUGUCAGAAUUUAUAAAACAAAUAAUUUCCGCAUUUGUGAGUCUCUUUUUGAAAGACAUUGCGAAAGCUACAGCUUAGCUCACGAGCUACACACAUAAAUAACAACACUGAAUGGCUCAGAGUGGGAGUGAGAGGUUACGUGAUUGACUGCAUGCACGCGCCACUUGUAUCAAUAAAUCACUGUCAGAAACGGUUUUGUUUGGUAAUUAUUUAUUUAUUUAUUUACUGUUUUAUUCACCUUUUCAAGUACUGGUGACAAAUCAUGCAUUCUUUCAUAGAUUACAAUGGACACAUAUUAUGUGUGUAAAAUACUUUUUUUAAUGAUUGUACUGAUUAUGAUGAGUUAAGCUAAUUCUAGCUAUGUGUGGAGCCAUGUUUGUUGACAUACAGUGCAUUCUGGGUUUCACGUCUGUCGGACCGAAGAUUUUUCAAGUAAACUUCCAGAAGUGAAUGAUGGGAUGUGAAGGAUGGUAGACAACACACUCCCUUCAACAUGAAUACUAUGAAUAGACCAAACUCAUCUUGUCUCCUCCCAUAAUCUUUGGUUGAUGCAAAAAAACACGGCGGCACGCACAAACUACCCAUCGUCAGGUUAACUUUCGAUUUCUAGAAACCAUUUUACUCAAUUGUUUUGAUCAAUGGUGAGCUCACUCAUGAUGUGACUAAUUAUGCUGUAGCUACUUCUGUGAAUGUCUGAACAUUGCAUC
Molecule: long non-coding RNA, 1675 nt
Organism: Oncorhynchus gorbuscha (pink salmon)
Lineage: Eukaryota; Metazoa; Chordata; Actinopteri; Salmoniformes; Salmonidae
Exons: 3
Source: RefSeq, a predicted model, not a curated record